Molecule: ribosomal RNA, 253 nt
Filed under: uncultured bacterium
Lineage: Bacteria
Description: partial 16S ribosomal RNA
Rfam family: Bacterial small subunit ribosomal RNA
Source: RNAcentral
UACGAAGGGGGCUAGCGUUGUUCGGAUUUAUUGGGCGUAAAGCGCACGUAGGCGGAUCGAUCAGUCAGGGGUGAAAUCCCAGAGCUCAACUCUGGAACUGCCUUUGAUACUGUCGAUCUGGAGUAUGGAAGAGGUGAGUGGAAUUCCGAGUGUAGAGGUGAAAUUCGUAGAUAUUCGGAGGAACACCAGUGGCGAAGGCGGCUCACUGGUCCAUUACUGACGCUGAGGUGCGAAAGCGUGGGGAGCAAACAGG